RNAcentral lists this ribosomal RNA (501 nucleotides) under uncultured bacterium. RNAcentral's name for it is "bacterial SSU rRNA". It matches the Rfam family "Bacterial small subunit ribosomal RNA", at positions 30 to 504 of the family's 1533-position model. The record is from RNAcentral.
UGAACGCUGGCGGCGUGCUUAACACAUGCAAGUCGAACGAGAAAUCAAUAGCUUGCUAUUGAGAGUAAAGUGGCGCACGGGUGAGUAACGCGUGGGUAAUCUACCCUUGAAUUUGGGAUAACAUCGCGAAAGCGGUGCUAAUACCGAAUGAGAUUUUGUAUGCCUUGGCAUAUAAAAUGAAAGGUGGCCUCUGAUGUAAGCUACUGUUUGAGGAUGAGCCCGCGUACCAUUAGCUAGUUGGUAAGGUAAAAGCUUACCAAGGCAACGAUGGUUAGCUGGUCUGAGAGGAUGAUCAGCCACACUGGAACUGACACACGGUCCAGACUCCUACGGGAGGCAGCAGUGAGGAAUUUUGCGCAAUGGGGUAACCCCUGACGCAGCAACGCCGCGUGAGUGAUGAAGGCUCUUGGGUCGUAAAACUCUGUCGAGUGGGAAGAAAUUAUAUAUAGCUAAUACCUGUAUGUAUUGACGGUACCACUAAAGGAAGCACCGGCUAACUCC